UCUACCCUGUACCCACACAGGCACCCAGUGACAUUAUGCUAGAAGACACCAGUGGAGAGUCUUGGAACCAGUGGAACCAGCCUUGAAAGCCUCGUUCUGCUCUUAACAGCUAUUUGGCCUCCAGGUCUCCUAGAUGCCGGGGUUUCCCUUCACCUUGACUAAUAGAUGCCAUGAAACAGCCACAACUGAAUCCCUGCUUGAGCGACCACAAAUGGGUAACCACCAGGCUCGUCGCACAUCGGGAGGAACAGAGCUGACAUCCAUUGAAGUGUCAUUUGGGACGGAGCCCACACUAGACACUGACUGUACAUUGCCUCAUCCAGUCCUCAUAACUUGACUCCUACGGGCAUGGAAGCCGGAAAACAUGAAAGCCACGUUGCCGACAAGUAGUGGUUGGUAGGUCUGUGGGCCUGAAUGGCAGAGCCUAAAGCCACCUAUGGCGAACAGUAUGAAUUCCAUUGGGAAGGCAAUUCCUUUUCUAUCUAGGCUUCCCAACUCCCCAAAGCAGAAAGCUGACGCUCGUGUUUAGAAAAGAGACUCAGGGGGAGCGGCAUUCUCCUUAAAGCCAACUCCCACUUCUUUCAAGCCAGGCUUAAUGACCCAAACUGCCAGCAAGGAUGAAAGAAUCUUGUUAAUGAAGUCCUCCACCAUGGGAAGAAGAUGAAAGAAAAAAGAAAGCGGGGAGGGAGGGAACAAUCCUUCACAAAUAUUUUCUGUUAAUAAAUUCCAUUUUGCCUCUAAAA
This is a long non-coding RNA of Mesocricetus auratus (golden hamster), 743 nucleotides long. RefSeq lists it as uncharacterized. The transcript has 2 exons. The record is from RefSeq and is a predicted model, not a curated record. Lineage: Eukaryota; Metazoa; Chordata; Mammalia; Rodentia; Cricetidae.